CCGUGGCCCUCCUGGUGUUCCAGCUGGCCUCUCUGUCUUUGCCCUGCCCUCAGGGCCUCUGGGUUUAUAUUUCACAGCACUGCCUGGCCCAGUGGGAUCAAAUGUCUGCCGUGCCACACGUCCCAGGAAAGGACUGCAGAGGCCUUCAGAUGAUCUCCACGCUGCAGUACCCAGAGGUCUGGUUUCUGACCCAGGUGCCUGUCCAACCCAAGGGCUGCCGUGCAUUGCCUUUUGGGAAAGCCUGGCCUGGAGAGAAUCAAAGCAGGUGACUGCAUUUUGCCAGAUCUUCUUGGUAGGGCCUCUGCGGCCUGUGUGGUCAGCCCCAGACGACUUGCGCAGCCUCCUCUUCCUCGUGGCUCUGCCUCUGCCCCACCGUCUGUCCAUCUGUGUCUGGCCUGUUGAACCCUUUUGGGCUUGGAAUGCCCUCUCCCUUGGGCCGUCUGGGCCCUGGGAGUGGCUGGCGUGGGGUUGGUGUGGGCACUGGGCCAGCAGCCUGGCUCCCUUCCUCUUCCCUCCACUCUCUGGAGGCGGGCAGCCCCAGGUCCUCACCUGUGACGCAGGAGUCAGGACUGCAGCAGCUUCCUAACGGGCGGGAGUGAGGCUUCAAAGAGGUAACACUCCAGCAAGUCCGUGACAGGGGCUGCAGGAGACGAGUGCCCAGAAAGUGGGGAUGCUAACCCUGGCUUCCAAGGAUCUGAAGAGGAAGCUGCGGCUGUGACUGUCCCUUUUCGGUCUGUCUUCAUCCUGCCUGACUCACGGGUCUCCUGUCCUCCUGCAUAGCUUGCGGUGGUGAGGUGAUGGCAGCCAUGGACACAGGCCAGAGAGCUGACCCAAGCAAUCCUGGUGACAAGGAAGGGGACCUUCAAGGGCUGUGGCAGGAACUCUACCAGCUCCAGGCUAAGCAGAAGAAGCUCAAGAGAGAAGUCGAGAAGCACAAGCUUUUUGAAGACUAUCUGAUUAAGGUCCUUGAGAAAAUCCCCGAGGGUAUGUACACAGCUUCCUCGGAAAGCCCUUUCUCUCCACAGCCACCUACUGGCUGCAGGACUGCGACACCGUGUGUGGCCUCAUGGAGCCACGAGCUGCUCAUCUACAGAAUGGGAAUCCACAAAGGCCAACCCCACAGUAGUGGGGAAGGGCUCAGGCAGCCGAGUCUGACUGCUUGGUCCCAACUCCAGCUCCACUGUCGCUAACAGUGUGGCCUCUGGCAAGUUCUCAAGGCCUUGAUUUUCUUAUCUGUACAAUGGGAACAGCAAUAAUUAUGUGGACUAGAUGAAGUCAUCCUUUAUAAGCACAGCACAGGGCCCCACAUUUAGCUAGUACCUGGUAAACGUUGGCCAUUAUUAUUAUUAUUUUGUUUGUCUUUGGUUUUGUGUUUUUGUGUUGCUAUUAUUAACUAAGAGUAUAAGGACAUCUGAGAUGAGGUUUUCUGUGUUGUUUUAUGAGUACUGGAAACUCAUUGGAAAAGGGAAGGGGAGUCACACAUAUUUAUUGUUAUCAUUAUUAUUUCAACACCAUCAAUAAUAAUUAUUACCAUUUAUUAAAUAUGUACCCUGUGCU
This 1557-nucleotide long non-coding RNA is filed under the name Homo sapiens (human). RNAcentral's name for it is "long non-coding RNA NONHSAT168831.1". Lineage: Eukaryota; Metazoa; Chordata; Mammalia; Primates; Hominidae. The record is from RNAcentral.